This 372-nucleotide ribosomal RNA is filed under the name uncultured bacterium. Its description in RNAcentral is "bacterial SSU rRNA". It matches the Rfam family "Bacterial small subunit ribosomal RNA", at positions 28 to 402 of the family's 1533-position model. The record is from RNAcentral.
GACGAACGCUGGCGGCGUGCUUAACACAUGCAAGUCGAGCGGUAAGGCCCUUUUGGGGGUACACGAGCGGCGAACGGGUGAGUAACACGUGGGUGACCUGCCCUCAGCUCUGGGAUAAGCCUGGGAAACUGGGUCUAAUACUGGAUAUGACCUUUCCUCGCAUGGGGUUGGGUGGAAAGUUUUUCGGCUGGGGAUGGGCCCGCGGCCUAUCAGCUUGUUGGUGGGGUGAUGGCCUACCAAGGCGACGACGGGUAGCCGGCCUGAGAGGGCGACCGGCCACACUGGGACUGAGACACGGCCCAGACUCCUACGGGAGGCAGCAGUGGGGAAUAUUGCGCAAUGGGGCGGAAGCCUGACGCAGCGACGCCGCGU